GAUUAACGCUGGCGGCGUGCCUGACACAUGCAAGUCGAACGAGGCCGCAAGGCCUAGUGGCGGACGGGUGAGUAACACGUGACCAACCAACCCCGAAGUUGGGAAUAGCUCUGCGAAAGUAGAGGUAAUACCGAAUGUGGUCCAGGGCGGACAUCCGCUCUGGUCUAAAGAUUUUAUCGCUUCGGGACGGGGUCGCGGCCUAUUAGCUUGUUGGUGGGGUAACGCCCACCAAGGCGAUGAUGGGUAGCUGGUCUGAGAGGACGACCAGCCACACUGGGACUGAGACACGGCCCAGACUCCUACGGGAGGCAGCAGUGAGGAAUCUUCCGCAAUGGGCGAAAGCCUGACGGAGCAACGCCGCGUGUGGGAUGAAGACCUUAGGGUUGUAAACCACUGUCGGAGGGACGAUCGUGACGGUACCCUCCAAGAAACGCCCCGG
Molecule: ribosomal RNA, 439 nt
Filed under: uncultured bacterium
Lineage: Bacteria
Description: bacterial SSU rRNA
Rfam family: Bacterial small subunit ribosomal RNA
Source: RNAcentral